RNAcentral lists this unclassified non-coding RNA (314 nucleotides) under plant metagenome. RNAcentral's name for it is "partial contains 5.8S ribosomal RNA, internal transcribed spacer 2, and large subunit ribosomal RNA". The stretch from base 1 to 105 matches the Rfam family "5.8S ribosomal RNA", at positions 50 to 154 of the family's 154-position model. The record is from RNAcentral.
GAAAUGCGAUAAUUAAUGUGAAUUGCAGAAUUCAGUGAAUCAUCGAGUCUUUGAACGCACAUUGCGCCCCCUGGUAUUCCGGGGGGCAUGCCUGUCCGAGCGUCAUUGCUGCCCUCAAACACGGCUUGUGUGUUGGGCUUCCGUCCCUGGCAACGGGGACGGGCACAAAAGGCAGUGGCGGCACCAUGUCUGGUCCUCGAGCGUAUGGGGCUUUGUCACCCGCUCCCGUAGGUCCAGCUGGCAGCUAGCCUCGCAACCAAUCUUUUUAACCAGGUUGACCUCGGAUCAGGUAGGGAUACCCGCUGAACUUAAGC